Molecule: ribosomal RNA, 301 nt
Filed under: uncultured bacterium
Lineage: Bacteria
Description: partial 16S ribosomal RNA
Rfam family: Bacterial small subunit ribosomal RNA
Source: RNAcentral
CAGUCGCCACGGUAAUACGGAGGAUCCAAGCGUUAUCCGGAAUCAUUGGGUUUAAAGGGUCCGUAGGCGGUCUUGUAAGUCAGUGGUGAAAGCCCAUCGCUCAACGGUGGAACGGCCAUUGAUACUGCAGGACUUGAAUUAUUGGGAAGUAACUAGAAUAUGUAGUGUAGCGGUGAAAUGCUUAGAGAUUACAUGGAAUACCAAUUGCGAAGGCAGGUUACUACCAAUUGAUUGACGCUGAUGGACGAAAGCGUGGGUAGCGAACAGGAUUAGAUACCCGAGUAGUCCCUGUCUCUUAUAU